This 433-nucleotide ribosomal RNA is filed under the name uncultured bacterium. RNAcentral's name for it is "partial 16S ribosomal RNA". It matches the Rfam family "Bacterial small subunit ribosomal RNA", at positions 29 to 507 of the family's 1533-position model. The record is from RNAcentral.
AACGAACGCUGGCGGCAGGCCUAACACAUGCAAGUCGAACGAGACCUGCGGGUCUAGUUGCGCACUGGUUCGUAACGGGUGGGAACCUGCCCUUAGGUUCGGAAUAACUCCCCGAAAGGGGUGCUAAUACCGGAUAAUGUCUUCGGACCAAAGAGUUAUCGCCUUUGGGGGUGCGCUAGUUGUAUUCGCUAUUUGGUAGGGUAAAAGCCUACAAAGGCGACGUCCCAUAGCUGGUCAGAGAGGCAGAUCACCCACACUGGCAAUGAGACACGGCCCAGACUCUUACGGGAGGAAGCAGUGGCUAAUAUUGCACCAUGGGCGAAAGGCUGAUCGAGCACUGCCGGGUGAGCGAUGAAGGCAUUAGGGUUGUAAAGCUCUUUUACCCGGGAUGAUAAUGACAGUACCGGGAGAAUAAGCUCCGGCUAACUACGUG